RNAcentral lists this unclassified non-coding RNA (185 nucleotides) under Glomeromycetes sp. RNAcentral describes it as "partial internal transcribed spacer 2". The stretch from base 1 to 71 matches the Rfam family "5.8S ribosomal RNA", at positions 84 to 154 of the family's 154-position model. The record is from RNAcentral. Lineage: Eukaryota; Fungi; Glomeromycota; Glomeromycetes.
GUGAAUCAUCGAAUUUUUGAACGCAAAUUGCACUCUCUGGCAUGCCGAAGAGUAUUCCUGUGUGAGGGUCAGUUUAAAUGAAAAUCUAGGUGUUGCGGGGUUGUGACCCAUCGGAAUUGGGUUAUCUUUGACCUUUUAAAAAGUUGAGGUUACCUAAAAUUGAUACCUUGUGCAUCUCAGACGUA